RNAcentral lists this ribosomal RNA (253 nucleotides) under uncultured bacterium. Its description in RNAcentral is "partial 16S ribosomal RNA". It matches the Rfam family "Bacterial small subunit ribosomal RNA", at positions 524 to 776 of the family's 1533-position model. The record is from RNAcentral.
UACGUAGGGACCGAGCGUUGUCCGGAAUCAUUGGGCGUAAAGAGCGCGCAGGCGGUCGUUCAAGUCGCGUGUGAAAGCCCCCGGCUCAACUGGGGAGGGUCACGCGAUACUGAUCGACUCGAAGGCAGGAGAGGGUAGUGGAAUUCCCGGUGUAGUGGUGAAAUGCGUAGAUAUCACUUGGAACGCCAAUGGUGAAGACAGCUCGCUGGGGGUGUCCUGACGCUGAGGCGCGAAAGCCAGGGGAGCGAACGGG